GGGUGGCUAGCUCAGUUGGUAGAGCAACGGACUCUUAAUCCGUGGGUCCAGGGUUCGAGCCCCUGGCCACCCAUCA
Molecule: transfer RNA, 76 nt
Filed under: Lactobacillus apis
Lineage: Bacteria; Bacillati; Bacillota; Bacilli; Lactobacillales; Lactobacillaceae
Also listed under: 1 other name
Description: tRNA-Lys
Rfam family: tRNA
About the family: Transfer RNA (tRNA) molecules are approximately 80 nucleotides in length. Their secondary structure includes four short double-helical elements and three loops (D, anti-codon, and T loops). Further hydrogen bonds mediate the characteristic L-shaped molecular structure. tRNAs have two regions of fundamental functional importance: the anti-codon, which is responsible for specific mRNA codon recognition, and the 3' end, to which the tRNAs corresponding amino acid is attached (by aminoacyl-tRNA synthetases). tRNAs cope with the degeneracy of the genetic code in two manners: having more than one tRNA (with a specific anti-codon) for a particular amino acid; and 'wobble' base-pairing, i.e. permitting non-standard base-pairing at the 3rd anti-codon position.
Source: RNAcentral